UUUAACCACUAGGGGAGUCAUAUAAUUGGCUGAGACGCAGAGUGUUGCGGACCCUUGGAACCUGAUCUGGCUCAUACCAGCGGAGGGAAGUGGCGCUAUCAGUCU
This 105-nucleotide non-coding RNA is filed under the name Viridibacillus arenosi. Its description in RNAcentral is "TPP sequence". It matches the Rfam family "TPP riboswitch aptamer (THI element)". From Rfam's summary of the family: Vitamin B(1) in its active form thiamin pyrophosphate (TPP) is an essential coenzyme that is synthesised by coupling of pyrimidine and thiazole moieties in bacteria. The previously detected thiamin-regulatory element, thi box was extended, resulting in a new, highly conserved RNA secondary structure, the THI element, which is widely distributed in eubacteria and also occurs in some archaea. RNAcentral also lists the same sequence under 1 other name. The record is from RNAcentral. Lineage: Bacteria; Bacillati; Bacillota; Bacilli; Caryophanales; Caryophanaceae.